RNAcentral lists this long non-coding RNA (375 nucleotides) under Parus major (Great Tit). Its description in RNAcentral is "lncRNA (ENSPMJG00000019404.1)". The record is from RNAcentral. Lineage: Eukaryota; Metazoa; Chordata; Aves; Passeriformes; Paridae.
CUCUUCAUCACACAACCAAGUCAGGCUGUUUCUGGGUGAGAAGGAGGGCUGCCAUAUAGCUGAUGAGCAGUAUGUACAUUUUUAAUAGAAGCAGGUGUUGCAUUUUUCUUUCACAAGAGGAACAUAAGACUCUCCAUGUUGAUUUCUACGAGACUGAAGACAUUGAAGGGCCCCUUAAGGAGAGUCCCAGAGAGACAGGUGUAGCUUGCUUGCCAGAAAUACAGGACUGGAACUGGGGAAAUGAGCAAAUUGAUAUAACACAAACACAUGUGGGGAAAAAAAAAAUAGAAAGAAUAGUCACCUGGAGCCAAUUGCCAUGGACCUGUUUUAUGUGCUGGAAAACCUCUGACAAUACAUAGCUGGAUGAAAAAAAUC